UAUUUUAGUCUUGUUAGAGGAACCUGUUUUAUAAUCGAUAAACCACGUAUAUUUCACUUAUUUUAAAUAACUUGUAUACCGUCAUUAUUAGAUAACUUUUAAAAAAUUAGUUAUUAAAAUUAAAUUAAAUUAAAUAUAUUAGAUCAAGGUGCAGUUAAUAAAUAAGAAAAAAUGGGUUACAAUAAAAUUUAUUUAAAACGAAUUAUAUAAAUGUAAAAAUAUAUGAAGGAGGAUUUAAUUGUAAUUUUUUUUUAUAAAAUAAUAAUAUGAUAAUAGCUCUAAAAUAU
RNAcentral lists this ribosomal RNA (287 nucleotides) under Aegla platensis. Its description in RNAcentral is "partial 12S small subunit ribosomal RNA". Lineage: Eukaryota; Metazoa; Arthropoda; Malacostraca; Decapoda; Aeglidae. The record is from RNAcentral.